CCUACGGGCGGCAGCAGUGAGGAAUAUUGGUCAAUGGGCGCGAGCCUGAACCAGCCAAGUCGCGUGAAGGAUGACUGCCCUACGGGUUGUAAACUUCUUUUAUAAGGGAAUAAAAUAAGGCACGUGUGCCGUUUUGUAUGUACUUUAUGAAAAAGGAUCGGCUAACUCCGUGCCAGCAGCCGCGGUAAUACGGAGGAUCCGAGCGUUAUCCGGAUUUAUUGGGGUUAAAGGGUGCGUAGACGGGUUGUUAAGUCAGUUGUGAAAUUUUGCGGCUCAACCGUAAAAUGGCAAUUGAUACUGGUAGUCUUGAGUACAGGUGAGGUAUGCGGAAUUCGUGGUGUAGCGGUGAAAUGCUUAGAUAUCACGCAGAACUCCGAUUGCGAAGGCAGCUUACU
This 395-nucleotide ribosomal RNA is filed under the name uncultured bacterium. RNAcentral describes it as "partial 16S ribosomal RNA". It matches the Rfam family "Bacterial small subunit ribosomal RNA", at positions 338 to 730 of the family's 1533-position model. The record is from RNAcentral.